GGUCUGGCACUUCGAGAAAGCUCCACCGAGCUCUCUGAUCGGACACCGGCCGCGCCCGCCGCCCAAACCAACCCCACCGACCGGAAUUACUCCGUUGUGAUCCACUCCGCUCCGACCACCCCCACCUGCCUAUAUAAAGGCCACCCCGGGCCUCGUUUCGGAUUCACCCCACCUCCACCCAUGCACAAUCACGCUUUAGAGGGAUCUAACGGCCCCGGGGAGGUUUUCUUCCACAACUCCGGCCGCCCGAUCCGCCUCUGCUUCUGAGAAGAAGCCGACGUAGUCCGUCCACCCCCACCUCCCAGAAUUCACCAGUAGCCUCCUAAUCGACUCCCUCGUCUGUCUCGCACGUCAAUUUGACGAUUUGAGGUUCCUCCGACGAGAUCCAACAUCACCCGAAGCCGCCGCCCGCCGUAGUCGACAUCGCCGGCACUAUGAUGCUCGCCAACAAGCAAAUCAACCACCCACCGGCCACCGACGCGGAAGAACACCCUGAGGACGUCUGCACCAUCGCCAUCCCUUGCUACACCGUGACCGCCGCCAGUAAAUGGAGGGAAGAUAAAUUUGGCAAAGUAUUGAAGUGCACCCAAUCUUUCUGCAUGCUCAAGGCAAGCAUCUUGAGCACAUGAUAUGAUCAUGGUUCAGAGAGGAGCACUACGACGACACCCCGCAACCUAGGAUUCGAGGAUAGCAGCCACGCGAGAUAGGAAUUAUCUGGCUCAGUUGUUCCCGUGGGAA
Long non-coding RNA from Triticum dicoccoides, 738 nucleotides. RefSeq lists it as uncharacterized. The transcript has 3 exons. The record is from RefSeq and is a predicted model, not a curated record. NCBI's taxonomy places the organism in Eukaryota, Viridiplantae, Streptophyta, Magnoliopsida, Poales, Poaceae.